AUCACCCCGCACGUUGAGCAAACGCUCGGCGGCGCCAUGAAGCUGCUGGGCCCGUCCGCGCUCAUCGCGAUGCUGGUCCUCCUCCUCGGCCUCCACACGGCGCAGGCCGGAUGGGGGAGGCGGCGGAGGGCCGAGAAGAAACCUGGCUAUUGUCCAGAGUUUUUUCUCGAUUGUCCUUUCCACCUUUUACCUCUGUGCCGUCGCGACGGAAGCUGCCCGGGGGACGAGAAGUGUUGCUUCUACAACUGCAGGCAGCAGUGUAUGGAGCCGUGGUUCACCUUGGAUUGAGGUAAAAACCCUUCUUCACCGGACCUGAGAAGACCCCUCUGGCAGGCUCAGACUUGGAUAACUGAUCCCCAAUUCCUCCAUGCUCUCCCCACUGCCCACGCUUUCUUAAAGCAAGAGUUAAAUGCUUUUUGACAUGAGAACAACACAAAG
This is an RNA transcript of Neogale vison (American mink), 438 nucleotides long. It is a transcript of the gene named WAP four-disulfide core domain protein 15A-like, with no coding region annotated. The record is from RefSeq and is a predicted model, not a curated record. The transcript is spliced from 3 exons. Lineage: Eukaryota; Metazoa; Chordata; Mammalia; Carnivora; Mustelidae.